CGGUUCUUGCCCGAGACCGAGAGGAAGAAGCAAGCAAAAGCAGAGAGGAGCCUCACUCUGUCAUCGACCACCCUUGCGCGCACGAAUCUCAGUCCGCGAGGUCACGGAUUCACCCGCAUUUCCUUCCCCGCAAAAAUGUCGGCCGCAGCGAGGGCACGCGCGCCGGCGCUCUUGGCCGGCCUGCGGCGGCUGGGGACGUCUGCGACUGAGGCGGAGACGAGGGAACGCGGGGCGAGGUGGGAGCUCUUUGCGGCGCGGGAGUACUACGACUACCGCAAGUCCAUCUACGGCGACGUCACCCACCGCGCCCUCCUCGUCGACGCCGUCGGCACCCUCGUCGUCCCCGCGCAGCCCACCGCCCAGGUGUACAAGAGCAUUGGCGAGAAGUAUGGGGUGAAAUACUCUGAAGAUGAGAUCCUGGCGAGAUACCGGUGGGCGUAUGGGCAACCGUGGGGUAGAUCACGGCUCAGAUAUGUCGAUGACGGAAGAACCUUUUGGCAACACAUAGUCUCAUCUUCUACAGGGUGUUCAGACUUGGAGUACUUUGAGGAACUAUACCAAUACUAUAUGACAGAAAAGGCUUGGAAGCUUUGUGAUCCUGAUGCUGAACAUGUGUUUCAAGCUUUAAGAAAUGCUGGUAUUAAAACUGCUGUUGUCUCCAAUUUUGAUACCCGUCUACGGCCACUUCUACAGGCCUUGAAAUGUGAUUGCUGGUUUGAUGCAGUUGCAGUGUCUGCUGAGGUUGAGGCAGAAAAGCCAAACCCAACAAUAUUUUUGAAGGCCUGCGAGCUUUUAGAUGUCAAACCUGAAGAAGCUGUGCAUGUUGGGGAUGAUCGUAGAAAUGAUGUAUGGGGAGCUAGAGAUGCAGGCUGUGAUGCGUGGCUUUGGGGCAGUGAUGUUUAUUCUUUCAAGGAGGUAUUUCUGUUCUUCUCCAUCCCAACAUUGAUCAUUUUAUUCUCGUGGAAAUUGUUUCAGGAGCAGAGUAUCUUACACAUCUCUUCACUAGGAAAAUGAUGCUCACAUUUGUGGUUAGUUCAUUUGUCCCCCACAAAAUAAUACUAGUAGUUUGGAUACUAAGGACAUGUUAAGUUUGUCAUUACGCAAAAAUGGAUGGAUACUCUAACCUGUCACCAUUGGGGUAAACUUCCCUUUUUCUAUCCGGAGGAGCACACCCACUUGAGGCUCAGAUGAAACCAGGAAGAAGGGUGUGCCAAUAGCCAAGAGCUUUCUGUCCUUGGAUUCAACUCGCAUCAGUCCUUGUCGCCGAGAGGAUUGGAGUCGAGGUGAAGGGAUAACUGGCACUGGCUAUCGUCGCGGGCAAAGGGGUUUCCUGGAGUGUGGUCAUGAUGCACGUAGGUAAAUAGCAGUGACCCAUCCUUGCUGCUCUAGCGUCUGAUGCACAAAUAAAUCAUGUUCGUUCAGUAAUUUAGAAGCGUUGAGCUGCUGAGAGUUGGAACAUUUCCCGUGCCUUAGUUGUCAUUGUGCACUCGGUGUGUUUAGCUACUGAUGUGAUCGUCUCUUCUGAUCUUCAACACGUACUGUUGGUGUA
This is a non-coding RNA of Lolium perenne, 1549 nucleotides long. The record is from RefSeq and is a predicted model, not a curated record. NCBI's taxonomy places the organism in Eukaryota, Viridiplantae, Streptophyta, Magnoliopsida, Poales, Poaceae.